GACGAACGCUGGCGGCGUGCUUAACACAUGCAAGUCGAACGGAAAGGCCCUGCUUUUGUGGGGUGCUCGAGUGGCGAACGGGUGAGUAACACGUGAGUAACCUGCCCUUGACUUUGGGAUAACUACAGGAAACUGGGGCUAAUACCGGAUAGGAGCUCCUGCUGCAUGGUGGGGGUUGGAAAGUUUCGGCGGUUGGGGAUGGACUCGCGGCUUAUCAGCUUGUUGGUGGGGUAGUGGCUUACCAAGGCUUUGACGGGUAGCCGGCCUGAGAGGGUGACCGGCCACAUUGGGACUGAGAUACGGCCCAGACUCCUACGGGAGGCAGCAGUGGGGAAUAUUGCACAAUGGGCGGAAGCCUGAUGCAGCAACGCCGCGUGCGGGAUGACGGCCUUCGGGUUGUAAACCGCUUUCGCCUGUGACGAAGCGUGAGUGACGGUAAUGGGUAAAGAAGCACCGGCUAACUACGU
RNAcentral lists this ribosomal RNA (467 nucleotides) under uncultured bacterium. Its description in RNAcentral is "partial 16S ribosomal RNA". It matches the Rfam family "Bacterial small subunit ribosomal RNA", at positions 28 to 506 of the family's 1533-position model. The record is from RNAcentral.